ACGGACAUUGGCGAUUACAACGUCAAACUUCGCAAUCUGCAGAAAUUUUUGGAAAACGGUGACAAAUGCAAGGUCACGAUUCGUUUUCGCGGUCGUGAAAUGGCUCACCAAGAGCUGGGAAUGCAACUCUUGGAUCGUAUCGAGGCCGACUUAGAAGAAUUGGCGGCUGUUGAACAAAGGCCCAAGUUGGAAGGGCGGCAAAUGGUGAUGGUGCUAGGAGCCAAGAAAAAAUAAGCAGUUUAUUUCGGACGUGCGGGUAAACGGUACACCUUCAUGUCUUUCAUAAUAGGAGUCCAAAGAUGCCGA
RNAcentral lists this unclassified non-coding RNA (306 nucleotides) under Ectothiorhodosinus mongolicus. Its description in RNAcentral is "Long range pseudoknot". Lineage: Bacteria; Pseudomonadati; Pseudomonadota; Gammaproteobacteria; Chromatiales; Ectothiorhodospiraceae. The record is from RNAcentral.